GCCAUGUCCAUCACCGGGGGCUGCCAUCACCUGCUGCUCCAUGCCAUGAUCUUACUGAGCCAGCUGGGUAUCGCUAUAGGAGGGUGUGAGGAGCACCAUGACAGUCCGGACACUAUUAGACUGGUCUUCAAUGACCUCCCUGAUGGCUAUAUAAAAUGCUGUCAGGGACAGGAGCAGUAGGGGUGCAAGAAGGCCUGUGAAGAAGAGGCCAUGCGAGAUAUAUUAAAUUGUUCAACAGCACCACCUGAUGUCCCAUCCUGGCUGAAUAUUUGAGGCUAGAUCAACGUUCAGGAGUGCCAUCAACAAGGGUCCUUUGA
Molecule: long non-coding RNA, 317 nt
Organism: Pelobates fuscus (common spadefoot toad)
Lineage: Eukaryota; Metazoa; Chordata; Amphibia; Anura; Pelobatidae
Exons: 4
Source: RefSeq, a predicted model, not a curated record